RNAcentral lists this long non-coding RNA (484 nucleotides) under Rhinopithecus roxellana (golden snub-nosed monkey). RNAcentral describes it as "lncRNA (ENSRROG00000045826.1)". The record is from RNAcentral. Lineage: Eukaryota; Metazoa; Chordata; Mammalia; Primates; Cercopithecidae.
UGGACACCCCUCCCUGACUUUGUAUUAAAGUGGAUUCUUUUGAGUCUUUUUCUCUGUGUGACUACUGUGCGUGGAGCCAGUGGGAUUUGCCCUGUGAUCCUGAAGGAGGGUCACAAGAGGCCAGACAUCGUCAGGCAAAUCUUAUUUUUUUGUUCUUGUAGGUCCAGAUUUUGGAUGAAUCUCUCUAGAGGUUGAACAGGACAUGAGGCCACAGACUGCAGUGCCCGUGAACAGAGGAGCUGUGGAGAUGGAAGUUUGAUCGGUCCCUUCAAACGCACACUCCGGUGCAUGUGCGCCUCUUCUGAUGCAGCGCCCCAAUGGACUUCUCUCUGCUACGGAUUUCUAACUUAACAAGAAAGGCAACUUUUCAUCAAAAAGGGCAAAGAACAGAGGGGACAGUAGAGGGCACCUUCAAACCCAGCAUGGAAAUAAGGUUCCUGCUUCGAAAUGAAGCAUCACAGCAAGCUCAGGUUUUUGAUUUGGG